AUUGAACGCUGGCGGCAGGCUUAACACAUGCAAGUCGAGCGGUAGCACAAGAGAGCUUGCUCUCUGGGUGACGAGCGGCGGACGGGUGAGUAAUGUCUGGGAAACUGCCUGAUGGAGGGGGAUAACUACUGGAAACGGUAGCUAAUACCGCAUAACGUCGCAAGACCAAAGAGGGGGACCUUCGGGCCUCUUGCCAUCAGAUGUGCCCAGAUGGGAUUAGCUAGUAGGUGGGGUAAUGGCUCACCUAGGCGACGAUCCCUAGCUGGUCUGAGAGGAUGACCAGCAACACUGGAACUGAGAAACGGUCCAGACUCCUACGGGAGGCAGCAGUGGGGAAUAUUGCACAAUGGGCGCAAGCCUGAUGCAGCAUGCCGCGUGUGUGAAGAAGGCCUUCGGGUUGUAAAGCACUUUCAGCGAGGAGGAAGGUGGUGAACUUAAUACGUUCAUCAAUUGACGUUACUCGCAGAAGAAGCACCGGCUAACUCCGUG
Molecule: ribosomal RNA, 489 nt
Filed under: uncultured bacterium
Lineage: Bacteria
Description: partial 16S ribosomal RNA
Rfam family: Bacterial small subunit ribosomal RNA
Source: RNAcentral